GAGGAAUCUUCGGCAAUGGGGGCAACCCUGACCGAGCGACGCCGCGUGCGGGAAGACGGCCUUCGGGUUGUAAACCGCUUUUCUGGGGGACGAGAAGCAGGACGGUACCCCAGGAAGAAGCCUCGGCUAACUACGUGCCAGCAGCCGCGGUAAUACGUAGGAGGCGAGCGUUGUCCGGAGUUACUGGGCGUAAAGGGUGCGCAGGCGGCGGUGCGCGUGGCGAGAUGAAAUCUCCUGGCUUACCUGGGAGGGUGGUCGCCAGACGGCAUCGCUUGAGGGUCGGAGAGGGGCGUGGAAUUCCGGGUGGAGCGGUGAAAUGCGUAGAGAUCCGGAGGAACACCGACGGCGUAGGCAGCGCCCUGGACGACACCUGACGCUGAGGCACGAAAGCUGGGGGAGCGAA
RNAcentral lists this ribosomal RNA (403 nucleotides) under uncultured bacterium. Its description in RNAcentral is "bacterial SSU rRNA". It matches the Rfam family "Bacterial small subunit ribosomal RNA", at positions 356 to 772 of the family's 1533-position model. The record is from RNAcentral.